CACGUAGUCGGCUUGUCAAGUCGGGUGUGAAAUCCCCGGGCUCAACCUGGGAACUGCAUCCGAAACUGACUUGCUAGAGUAUGGGAGAGGGAGGCGGAAUUUCUGGUGUAGCAGUGAAAUGCGUAGAUAUCAGAAGGAACAUCAGUGGCGAAGGCGGCCUCCUGGACCAAUACUGACGAUCAGGUGCGAAAGCGUGGGGAGCAAACAGGAUUAGAUACCCUGGUAGUCC
This 229-nucleotide ribosomal RNA is filed under the name uncultured bacterium. Its description in RNAcentral is "partial 16S ribosomal RNA". It matches the Rfam family "Bacterial small subunit ribosomal RNA", at positions 568 to 796 of the family's 1533-position model. The record is from RNAcentral.